AUAAUAUUGCAGGCUGGAACACUAGGCAGGCCCUGCACACUGCAAACCACGGCCGUGCCUCUGAGCAGCCUCGCCCCAGCCUUGCAAUGAGGUAACUCCAAGCAUUUCAGUCAUUGUCGCAACUCAAGGAAGAUAGAACAGCUGAAGAACCCACAUUGCCUGAGGAAUACAUGACAACUGGCCUAGUAUCUCCAACACCAUUUCCCUCCCUCGCUGUAUCCCUUUCAGAUUACAUAAAGAAAUUCCCAGCUUGCCACGCAAUGCCAGUGUGGCAGAAGAACAGAGUGGCUGCUAUCGUAGAUGGAGAAACAAUAAUCCCUGCCGACCAAGAUGACAACUUUUCUUUGGAUCUGGCAUCAAGUAGAAGGUUCUUUUGAAAGAAAAAGAAAUAUCCUUUUUUUUUUUUAAGGGAAAAUUCAGGGGGGAAAGUCCCCCCACCACAUUAUUCUGGCUCUUUUUUAUUGCCACAGACUGUUUGGAUGAACUCAAAAAUACAUUUUUGGGUAGGAAAAAAGGUUCUGACAACAUUGUAGGUUUUUUUUUAGCCUUCUAAUGGUGCUUUCACAAAUAUUACACCAUCCCAGCUUCUUCAUGAAAGUUUCUAGUUGAGAGCUGUGCUCUGAAAACACACAAAAUGUUCUUUUUUUCUGUGUUUAUAACAAGUGGAUAAGGCUAGAGCUGGCAAAAUGGCAAAGGAAUUUUAAUGCUGUAGAAAGAGUGGUGGGCCAUUAGCUUAAUGCCUCCACACAUCUCUCACUAGCUGGCUUUCAUCCUAUAGCCCUUCUUGCAUGCAUUCAGUAUGUCUCAACCAGUCUUCAAGUUUGCCAAUAAAACAUCAGUGGUGUUACUGUGUCUUUCUUUCAUGUCUAGAAGUCUUAAUAUACAUAUAUAUAUUCCUAGUUCCAAAAUAAUUCCACCUUCAGGAAAGUGAAAUAAUUAUUCUUGAGUUGCAGUUGUUACAAGGACUAUAGAAAAAAUAAUGACUGUCUGAGUUUUGAUGUUUUCACCUUAGAAACGUGGCGUGCAUCUUCCACUGUAACUGCAAGAGUAGAAAGAGAUGACAGGUUCAGUGAGACUUUUUCACCUACUCUGGAUUUUUAUCAUAAAGAUUAAUUUCUUGUUGUUCUCCAUCAAUAACUUCCUCUCCAGUGCUUCCCCUGUGUCUGAGUUGGAGAAUGAGACCACUUCAACAGGACACUCUUCCAUCAUUUCCCAAAGACAUUAUUUUUGCAGUCGGAUGAGUGUUGGCUUCCCAGUGAUGCCUCUACGGACAACAGCAUUCUGUCAGACUGACCUCUCAUACAGCGUUUGAUAGUGUGAUAUAAGUGUGCUGAGGAAGACAAGAAGAUGAUCUCCAGUUGAAGGCACACAAACUCCUAGCCGAUUUUAACAGGAUUGAACCCAGACAUCGUUUUUGCUGCACAACUGCACAACUUCAAAUUGGUUUUACAAUUCAAGGCUCUCUCUUCCAUAGUUAGUAAUUAUUACUUGUCAAGGUUCAUUAAUAUCUCUGCCCCAUACAUUACGCAAGAAACAUCAUUAUAGCAAGACCUUACCCCAUGUCAUUAGCAGGAACUUUUGUAUUUAAUGUUGAGAAUGACUCAAGUGAAGUGCUGCUUUCUCUGACCUGUCAUAAAUAAAGAACCAUUAUAAUUAAAAGCCCAGGCUUGAUUUAUACAGGCUGUUUGCUCAGGCUGCCAGGAUUGAACCUCUUAAUGUCUAUUGUUACCAAGGGAUUUUGGUAAGAGUUGAUCUAGUUUAAUCAAAUACUUACCACUUCUAAUAAGUUUUAGAAAUGUAGCAAGAAACAAAAACAAUCCUG
Molecule: long non-coding RNA, 1822 nt
Organism: Gallus gallus (chicken)
Lineage: Eukaryota; Metazoa; Chordata; Aves; Galliformes; Phasianidae
Source: Ensembl